This 332-nucleotide ribosomal RNA is filed under the name uncultured bacterium. Its description in RNAcentral is "bacterial SSU rRNA". It matches the Rfam family "Bacterial small subunit ribosomal RNA", at positions 585 to 915 of the family's 1533-position model. The record is from RNAcentral.
AAGUCAGAUGUGAAAUCCCGGGGCUCAACCCCGGAAGUGCCUUUGAUACUGGAUGGCUUGAGUACGGGAGAGGGAAGUGGAAUUCCUGGUGUAGAGGUGAAAUUCGUAGAUAUCAGGAGGAACACCGGUGGCGAAGGCGGCUUUCUGGACCGAUACUGACGCUGAGGCGCGAAAGCGUGGGGAGCAAACAGGAUUAGAUACCCUGGUAGUCCACGCCGUAAACGAUGAGCACUAGAUGUUGGGGGAAUCGACCCCUUCUGUGUCGAAGCUAACGCAUUAAGUGAUCCCCCUGGGGACUACGGCCGCAAGGUUAAAACUCAAAGGAAUUGACG